RNAcentral lists this ribosomal RNA (439 nucleotides) under uncultured bacterium. Its description in RNAcentral is "bacterial SSU rRNA". It matches the Rfam family "Bacterial small subunit ribosomal RNA", at positions 28 to 449 of the family's 1533-position model. The record is from RNAcentral.
GAUGAACGCUGGCGGCGUGCUUAACACAUGCAAGUCGAGCGAAGCGCUAAAGCGGAUUUCUUCGGAUUGAAGUUUUAGUGACUGAGCGGCGGACGGGUGAGUAACGCGUGGGUAACCUGCCUCAUACAGGGGGAUAACAGUUGGAAACGGCUGCUAAUACCGUAUAAGCGCACAGUACCGCAUGGUACGGUGUGAAAAACUCCGGUGGUAUGAGAUGGACCCGCGUCUGAUUAGGUAGUUGGUGGGGUAACGGCCUACCAAGCCGACGAUCAGUAGCCGACCUGAGAGGGUGACCGGCCACAUUGGGACUGAGACACGGCCCAAACUCCUACGGGAGGCAGCAGUGGGGAAUAUUGCACAAUGGGGGAAACCCUGAUGCAGCGACGCCGCGUGAGCGAAGAAGUAUUUCGGUAUGUAAAGCUCUAUCAGCAGGGAAGAA